Molecule: ribosomal RNA, 479 nt
Filed under: uncultured bacterium
Lineage: Bacteria
Description: partial 16S ribosomal RNA
Rfam family: Bacterial small subunit ribosomal RNA
Source: RNAcentral
GAUGAACGCUAGCGGGAGGCCUAACACAUGCAAGCCGAGCGGUAUUGUUUCUUCGGAAAUGAGAGAGCGGCGUACGGGUGCGUAACACGUGUGCAACCUGCCUUUAUCUGGGGGAUAGCCUUUCGAAAGGAAGAUUAAUACUCCAUAAUAUAUUGAACGGCAUCGUUUAAUAUUGAAAGCUCCGGCGGAUAGAGAUGGGCACGCGCAAGAUUAGCUAGUUGGUGAGGUAACGGCUCACCAAGGCGAUGAUCUUUAGGGGGCCUGAGAGGGUGAUCCCCCACACGGGUACUGAGACACGGACCAGACUCCUACGGGAGGCAGCAGUGAGGAAUAUUGGUCAAUGGGUGCAAGCCUGAACCAGCCAUCCCGCGUGAAGGACGACUGCCCUAUGGGCUGUAAACUUCUUUUGUAUAGGGAUAAACCUACCCUCGAGAGGGUAGCUGAAGGUACUAUACGAAUAAGCACCGGCUAACUCCGUG